CAUUUCCCUUCUUCUUCAUUAACAGUGUCAUCCCAUCUCCUCUCUCUCUUCUUCAUUUCUUGCGGUUUUCCCAUGGAUGUUGGGACUUCAUCCACCGUCAUUUUACCUUGGCACUUACAACUGAAGCCACCUUAAAUAAGUGGUCGAUUCAUGGUUGUAAAUAGAGAAGCAGAAAAGAAAAAUUGUGGAGAAUUCUCUCCUCUAACUCUCUCUCUUGCACGCGGACGGCUCCGACUCCAUCGGCGCAGCUUCACUCCGACGCCAUUAACAGGAAAAAGAAUUUGAUAGAGAAGUGACUGAUCUUGAGAUAUUUCAAAGAUGCCAUAGAAAAAACAAAAGAUAUUGGGGAGUUCAUCGACCACAAAUCCAAAAGAAUUAGUGAAGAAUACCUUGCAAAAAUGGAUGGUACUGAUGUUUCUUCCCAGUCUUCAUUCGAUCUCUCAACUUGGUAUGAUAUAACUGGAGAUCCUUCUAAAGAACGCUUAUAUAGAUUUGAAAGUGGCUCGUCAUCUACAAGUGUAAGUUCAGUCAAUUCUACUCUUACACCAUUUGAGGAGAAGCUUAAUGAGUUAACAAAAAUUGUGGAAGAAUUAUCAAGACGACAAGAAGAAAAUAGAAAAUUGCUUCAAACUAUUCUUGAAGAAGCUCGAAAGAGGGAGGAAGAGGCUCAAAAGAGGGCGGCUAACCUACAAGAAUUGGUUCGUAAAUUACUUCAAGUUGUGAGAUACACAAACCAUCAAUUUGUUGGUGGGUCUGGACAGCAAGAGCAACAACAUUCCAAGAAAGAUCAUUAGUUUUUUUUUUUUUUUCCUGUUGAUUGUUUAUGACUUAGUUUAUGUUGAUUUGAGUUGUAUUUUAACUUACUUUUGUUGGUUUGGGAGUGCAAACAUUGAUAUUAUUUGGUAGUAUUUGGAUGA
This is a long non-coding RNA of Sesamum indicum (sesame), 917 nucleotides long. RefSeq lists it as uncharacterized. NCBI's taxonomy places the organism in Eukaryota, Viridiplantae, Streptophyta, Magnoliopsida, Lamiales, Pedaliaceae. The record is from RefSeq and is a predicted model, not a curated record.